UUUUUUUUUUUUUUGGUUUCUAAGAAGUUGAAUCUUGACAUACAGAAUAUUACGUAGGGUGUUUAUGUCUAUGGACUCAACAGUGUCAUUGACUUGCGAUAACAAGUAACUGCCUGAAUGAAUCAAGCUUAAUAUGAUAAUUUUAAAAGAUAAAACAAAUUGUUAUAAGCAGUUAAAUUAUACUAAUAGUUGUAUAAAUUGUCAGUUUAUAUAACUUAAAAACUCAUGGGAUGGAGCUGCUCAAUUCCACUAGAAAAUUAAGAACGAGUUGUCCUCCACCAUGGUGAAGUACUCCAAAUUAGACCUAACCUUGUGACACUAGAUUCAUUUGAAUAUAAUACUUUUGACAUAUAAAAUUUACUAAACUUACAACAAACAAUAAAUAUGACCCAUAAUUUGAUCGAAUGACAUAGUUCAAUUUGGACAAGACAAGGGAAACAGACCACCUUGUUAGGAAGCUUAGUUAAUUUGGCCAAGGCAUAAAGGUAUCUGCAGUAUGUUUUGGUCCACAAACAGGACACGUGACAUACACACAUUUAUGUGGAGGGGUUAAUUAGGCCAACUAGUCUGGCCAAGAUUUGGGCAAUGAAAUGGACAAGUAUGUGGCUACUCAAAUAUGCCACAUAUAUUAUUUUCCGUAUUCAAAAUUCACUAAAUUCAAAAUGUCUCGAUUGUCUUCGAGACUCGAAUCCAAAACCUUUAAUUAAGAGGGGAUAACUCAAAUAAUGAAUGGAAAAUCCAAUAUGCAGAGGUGAAAUAGGAGCCAAAGUUCCAAUUCGCAGCAAGAAAAUCUAAGAAGGCAUUAAAACAGUUCUUCCUGGGGCAUUACAAAGAUUUUCUUAGAUUUUCGAUACAUUGCCUGUAAAACUGGCGUCGGUUCGAGCCCUACAGGGCCACUAGAGAUAUUACAAACUAUUCAUGUCUCCGGGGCCAUGGAAUUCACCGGUGGAUCCGCCUUGAAACAGUGAGGCCCGAAGGAUACAGCUAGUCGGGGAGUGGUUGGUAAAAACUGAGGAGCAAAAAACUCUUUGGCACCAGCUGUACCUCAAGACAACGGUUAACAAAAAAAGAAAAAAAAAGGGUCCAUUAGAGUAAUAAAUAGGCAAUGUAUAAAUUUUUUUAACCUCCUUAAAAUGUAAAACAAUCCUGAAAUAAAAUAGUUUACCUAAAACAAAAAUAUCUGCAACAACAAGUAAAGAUGAUCUAAUAGUGCGAAAAACAUCUUAAACUAACGAUGCAUAUACUUAAAUUUAUUUAUUUUCUAUAACGAGAUAAAAAAUGUCAAUUUGAAAUUACCUCGAAGUGUUUUCACCCCAUGUUGUAAAUUCUCAUAAUUGACCACAACUACACAUGUUUCAUAUAUUCUUGAACAAAUGAAUGAGUCUCAAACCCUCUUUCAGAUAAAUUAAAAAUAUACACUUAUAGGACGCUGUUAAAAAAAUUCAGGCAAAUUACAAAGAGAAUAUUAAAUCACUUUUGAUCAAGAAUAUAAAACCAAACGCUUCGAACAGAGAGUACAGAGAUACUUCCUCUUGAACCUAAAGCAAAUAGGGAGAAAGCAAAAUCUGAAACGGCCUUCUACAUCAACAAGGACAUGCCCCUGCUGCUACUUUUCUUCCUACCUCUUUCUCAUCUUCUUCACAUACACAUGACAACAAACACAUCUUCUCUUCUUUUAGUAUUUAUUUUUCAGCUUCUUCUCACUGCAAUUUCUUUCUCCUUAAAAUUUAAAUAAAAUGUGGGAAAUAGUUCUUUUUUCUUGAGGGGUUUUUGCUGGAGCGAGGUGAGAGAGAAAGACAAAGGGUUUUCUGCGUAUACGAUGAUUUGGUGAGAUUUUUG
Molecule: long non-coding RNA, 1839 nt
Filed under: Nicotiana benthamiana
Lineage: Eukaryota; Viridiplantae; Streptophyta; Magnoliopsida; Solanales; Solanaceae
Description: long non-coding RNA (NBEN_LNC042496)
Source: RNAcentral